RNAcentral lists this non-coding RNA (216 nucleotides) under Methylosinus sp. RNAcentral also lists the same sequence under 1 other name. Lineage: Bacteria; Pseudomonadati; Pseudomonadota; Alphaproteobacteria; Hyphomicrobiales; Methylocystaceae. The record is from RNAcentral.
GUCUAUUCGCCGGGCGCUGGUUCCUGUCUUGCGACAGGCGAAGAGGGAAGGCGACGGAUUGCCCGAAAGGCAGCCCGAGCGCAGCCGCCCCCGCGACCGUGAACGGAGAGGUCCUCCGACGCCACUGGCCGACAAGGCUGGGAAGGUGGAGGACCGAGGUGGAUUGCGAUCCCCAGAUCCGUGAGCCGGGAGACCUGCCAGCGCAUGACGACGGGC